AACUCACCAGGUCAGGACACGGUAAGGAUUGACGGACUGAAGGCUCUUUCUCGAUUCCGUGGAAAGUGGUGCAUGGCCGUUUUUGGUUGGUGGAUCGAUCCGUCUGGUUAAUUCCGUUAACGAACGAGACCUCGGCACUCCGAAUAGCGCGGCGGACGUCGCGGCCUCCGGGCCGUCUUCCGCACGAGCUUCUUAGAGGGACCGUCCCCCGCCGGGGAAGGAGGUGCGAGGCAACGACAGGUCUGUGAUGCCCUUAGAUGUUCUGGGCCGCACGCGCAUUACACUGACGCGUCCAACGGGUGACUCCCGACCCGAAGGGGCCGGGGAAUCCGCAAGGCGCGUCGUGAUGGGGAUUGAACGUUGCAAUUGUUGUUCACGAACGAGGAAUUCCUAGUAGGCGCGGGUCAUCAACCCGCGCCGAUUACGUCCCUGCCCUUUGUACACACC
This 447-nucleotide ribosomal RNA is filed under the name uncultured eukaryote. RNAcentral describes it as "bacterial SSU rRNA". It matches the Rfam family "Eukaryotic small subunit ribosomal RNA", at positions 1212 to 1670 of the family's 1831-position model. The record is from RNAcentral.